This is a long non-coding RNA of Pyrgilauda ruficollis (rufous-necked snowfinch), 703 nucleotides long. RefSeq lists it as uncharacterized. The transcript has 3 exons. Lineage: Eukaryota; Metazoa; Chordata; Aves; Passeriformes; Passeridae. The record is from RefSeq and is a predicted model, not a curated record.
CAGAGUUUUAGGCCUGGGAGAGGUUUUAGACAGGACUGGGUGCUUCUAAGCAGGACUGGGGUGGAUUUUAGCUGGGAUUUGGGACCUUUUAGAACCGGUGAAGAUUAAGUCAGGACUGAGGGACUUUUAGGCCUGGGAGAGGUUUUAGGUGGGACUGAGUGAGGUUUUAGAAGUGGUGAAGGUUUUAGGCUGAACUGAGGGGCUUUUAGGCCAGACUGUGGGAGGUUUUAGGCGGGACUGGGACAGGUUCUAGGCCAGACUGGGACAGGUUCUAGGCCAGACUGUGGGAGGUUUUAGGCCAGACUGGGACAGGUUUUAGGCUGGAUUUGGGACCUUUCAGAACCAAUGAAGCUUUAAGCCAGGACUGGGGCACGUUUAGGCCCGGGAGAGAUUUCAGGCCGGACUAAGCCUGGCUCAACCUCCUGCUCCACUGGCAGGGAAAUGUUCCCCCGGGAUGUUUUCCCCGGAAUUUUUCCCCUGGAAUGUUUUCCUUGGGAUGUUUUUCCACUGGAACGUUUUUUAUGGGAUGUUUUUCCACUGGAAUGUUUUUUAUGGGAUGUUUUUCCACUGGAAUGUUUUUUAUGGGAUGUUUUUCCACUGGAAUGUUUUUUUAUGGGAUGUUUUUCCACUGGAAUGUUUUUUAUGGAAUGCUUUCCCCCCGGGAUGUUUUCCCUCUGUUUCUACCUCUUGUGCCUUCAUUAAA